Molecule: non-coding RNA, 121 nt
Organism: Photobacterium marinum
Lineage: Bacteria; Pseudomonadati; Pseudomonadota; Gammaproteobacteria; Vibrionales; Vibrionaceae
Source: Rfam
GGUGUCGGCUGAAUCAGAGAUUGGCUGGCACAAAUUAAAAAUAUCUUUGUAUUAGGAAUGAGUUAUGUCUCUGAAUGCAGAAACUAAAGCAGCAAUCGUUGCUGAAUACGCGCAAGGCGCA